CCCGACACGGGCCCGGCACCGCCAGAGCACCCAGGCUGGGCGCAGCUUGUGAAUCACGGUGCUUGCUGCAGAUCAAAAGGGGUCCACUACACCAUAUGCACACAAUGGUGCCCAGGUUUGGACUCUACAGGAAAUUUCAAUGUGCUAACAGUUGGCACUUUAUUUGUGGACACACCCUUUACUUCCAAAUGCACAGCACUUCAGCUUCAGGAAAGCAGUUACUGUAUGACAGCUUUUUAAAGUGACCUGUACAGCAUUCUUGGCAAAUACAUCCUGUUCCUUAAAUGGUGCUUUUGAUUUAGGGUUAAAAAUGAAAGGCAAAUCCCUGUGAACCAUUUAUGUCCCAUAUAUUGUCUGCAA
Molecule: non-coding RNA, 360 nt
Organism: Cyanistes caeruleus (blue tit)
Lineage: Eukaryota; Metazoa; Chordata; Aves; Passeriformes; Paridae
Source: RefSeq, a predicted model, not a curated record